AUGGAGCAUUUUAUUAGAGGCAGAUUUAUUCUGUAUUUCCUUAGCACCACUGUAAAAGCUUUCCAUUUUGUAAUAAAGUUUCCAUUGUCUCAUGUUUUAAAAUAUUGCUUCUUUUCUAAGACUGAAAUUUAAGAAAAUAUUGCCACCUUGAGUAUUUUACCUGCUGAAGAAUAUCUAACACAUCUAUAAAAUCUGUUAUUCUUUCCUCAGAUCUUUAAGGAGUCCAAAAUUCUGGGAAUUUGUAUUUAUUUCUUUGAUGUUAUUCAAUGAUAACACAUGAAAAUAUACAAAAAUCUCCUAAGUUUAUUAGUUAAUUAUGUAAAAUUGAAUAUUCUAUUAUUUGCCUACUCAUUUAGGAAGCUGGGUACUCAUAAUUUUUAAAAGUUUUCAUAUGUAAUUAGAACUUCUUUUUUUAAGUAGAAGAGAUGAAAUCUGCGUGAUGGAGUGCUGAUGAGUCCACAAGAUUUGUGCUUUAAUGUUUGCUAUUUUACAGUUUAACUAACUAAAAAGAUGAAAUCAUUAAGCAAAAGGGAUAUAAAAGAAUUGCUGGUAUAGCCUAUGGGAGACUAUCUUAUUAUUUUUCUAAGAUUCUCUCUACUUUUUAGUCAGCAAUUUUCCUUUUAAUGGCAUGAUAGUAGCCCUGAGACUAAGAGAUGAAACAUUUUUAUUUUGUUAAAUGCACUAUUAAACUAAUACUCUGCAUUUAUAGCUCUGAAAUAUGUGUUACUUAUUAGAGGUUUCCUGAUUUUCUGUGAGUUAAUAAAUCUCCAGAAUUUUUCUACUCAUAUAGUUUUAUGGAACUUAUCAAUAUUAUGCCCUUACUAUGUGUGUGUGAGUGUGUGUAACUCAUGUGGAAAACAGUCAUUUACUAAUAAAAACAAGUACUACUCUUAUUUCUUACUUCAAACUAAAGUACCAAAAUGGACAGUGCUACCUACAUGAUUCUUUAGUUGCUUACUCUUUACUUCCUAGUGACCUAGAUAACCAAACUGAUAUUUGUGUAAGCAGUGGAUCAAUAAUUUGUCAUAUGGUGAUAUCAUUGGGCUUUUUAAUAUAAGAUUUUAAAGCAUACAUAUACAUUAGUAGCAACUUUAAAAAUAACAAAACAACAGUUUUAAACCUGUCAAUAAAAUAUCAAGACCCUUUAAUUUCUUCUUUACCAAAAUGGAUGCCUCUUACUUCUUUUUCUUGUCUGAUUGCUGUGGCUAGGACUUCUAGUACUACUGUUGAGUAAAUGUGGUGAGUGAACAUCUUUGUCUUGUUGCUGACCUUAAGAGGGAAAGCCCUCAGUUUUUCCCCAUUGAAUAAUAUUAACUGUGGGGUUUUCAUAUGUGGCCUUUUUAUGUUGAAGUUGACAGUUCUUACUUUUUGUUGAAAGUUUUUUACUAUGAAUGGAUGUUGAAUCUUGUCAAAUGCUCUUUCUGCAUCUAUUGAGAUGAUCAUAUAACUUUUAUCCUGAUUUUGUUGAUGUGGUGUAUGGUUGACUGAUUUCUGAAUAUUAACCAUCCUUACAUCCCAGAAAUAAAUCCCAACUGAUUAUGGUAAAUGAUUUCUUCAGUGUAUUGUUGGACGCAGUUUGCUAAUAUUUUGUUGAGGAUUUUUGCAUCUGUGUUCAUCAGGGAUAUUGGCUUGUGGUUUUCUUUAUUUGUUGUGUCUUUGGUUUCUAUAUCAGGGUAAUGCUGGCCUUGUAGCAUAACGCUGAGCAUAUAAUUGGCUUCACUAUUUGGAAGCUUUCUUUCCUUCUUCUGUUUUUUUGGAAUACU
RNAcentral lists this long non-coding RNA (1763 nucleotides) under Canis lupus familiaris (dog). Its description in RNAcentral is "lncRNA (ENSCAFG00030023033.1)". Lineage: Eukaryota; Metazoa; Chordata; Mammalia; Carnivora; Canidae. The record is from RNAcentral.